Molecule: long non-coding RNA, 3926 nt
Organism: Gavialis gangeticus (Gharial)
Lineage: Eukaryota; Metazoa; Chordata; Crocodylia; Gavialidae
Exons: 2
Source: RefSeq, a predicted model, not a curated record
UUCCUGCCCUGUCUGCCACUGUGCUGUGUGCCCUCAUCCCUGAUCUACUACAUGUCACACAAAUAAGCUGCCCGUGAAAGUGAUGCUUGGGAUAUCAAUGUACAAUUUAUGGAUUCUGAGUGGAGGUAGGACAUGGCUGUCUCAUUGAAUGACUCAGCUGAUGUAGUGUCAGCCAUCAACUGUCAGGCUACAUCAUGUCUCAUGAGACCAGGAAUGAUGGACAUUUAUUAAGUUUUGAUGGGAGUUCCUGGGAACAAUGGGAUGGCUGAAGCCUAUAGAAACCAGUCCACUCUGCUAAGAUGGGUUUGAACAAUGGAGUUACUAAAGAACCUGGACAGGGGACUCAGGAAGACAUAGGAAGUUUAGGCUGGGAAAGGGAGGGGGCAGGGCAUGCUUUUCUAGCAGACAGACCAGCCAAGGAAGAGGAAACUGGGCUGAGAAGGAAAGAGUGAGAGAAGCCAGUGAAAGGGCCAGCACUGUUUACUCUGACCAUGGGAAGCUUAAGAGCACAAUUUUGUUGGGAACCAGAUCCUGAAGCCUGGUGAUGCUGCCACUAAGAAUGCCCUACCAGGGCAGAUUCACAUGAAAAUAGGCAAGACUUUAUCAAAAUGACCAUUCUUAAAAUCAUGGGUCUGGAUGGGUCGGUCAUCUCAUCCAUCCCUAUACACAGAGGCAGGUUUUGCUGCAUCUAAAUCAGUCCUGAUGGAUGCCUAUCCAGCAUCUUAAAACCAUGCACUGAAGGAGAUCCUACAAUUGCUGUAGGUAGUUUAACUGCACUGACAUUUGGGAAUUUUCCUCUGAGGUUUAACUUGAAUCUGCCUCCUGUAGUUUAAAGCUAUUGCUUCCUGCCCAACUUUUAGCAGUUAGAUAGGAUAAUUAUACACCAUCCUUUUUAUGGCAACAUUUUACAUAUUUGAAACUGUUAUCACCUCACCCCUUCACCUGCCUUUCUUCCGAUUAAUUAUUCUGAGCUCAUUCAACCAUUCCUCGCAUGGCUUGGUUGCCAUCACACCUGUUGCUCUCUUUUAUAUCUUCUCCAAUUUCUCCACAUCCUUCUUAAAAUGUGGUGCCCAAAAAUGGACACAAUAUUCUAUUUAGUUCCAACUUAACACCAAUAAGGAUGUUAAGGAAUAUUACCUUACAUAUCUUGGAUAUGAGGUUUUUGCCAAUGCAGUCCAAGGUGGUAUAUGCCUUUUUCACAAAAGCAUCUCAGUGCUAACUCAUAGUCAUUUUGUGGUCCCCCACAACACCCAAAUCCUCAGCUGUGCUCAGCUAUCCUUCAUUUUGUAUCUGUUGAAUUGGUUUGUCUGUUAGGUGAAGUACCUUACUUCUGUCCUUGUUGGAUUUCAUGUUAUUGUUCAUGACCUAAUUCUCUGAUUUAUUGAGAGCAUUUUGGAUUUUCUAUCCCACCCACAUCUGUGUUGUCCGCAAAUUUCAUUACUGUAUUCUCCAGUCAUUUAUUCAAAUUGUUAAUAAAAAGAUUAAUAGUAUUGGACACGGAACAUUUCCCUGGUGUUAGGGUAGGUUGUUAUGUUUAAUGGUUUGAAGUUGCACCUGCUUAUAGUAUUGUUUAUAUUUAGCUUUAUUUAAUUAUUGCUUAAACUUUGUCCUUAUUAACUUUUCAUUUUUAUUAGCCUGCUUUGAGUUGUUUUUGUAGAUAUCAUAGUGCUCAUUAUACCUUUUCUUUUUUUAUCACUGUGAGAAGUUUUUUUAACAUAACAUAGCAAUGGCCUUGUUAUCAGCUCCAAUUAACUGAACUUGGCACUAACCAGUGAAUAAGAGGAUGAAAGGAUUGGAUAUAUUAAUGAAAGGUGAUAAGGGAGACCAAUGGACAAUGCCCAAAGUAAGACAUCAGAAAAAGGCCAAAUUAAGAGGUCUGCUUGUGAUGGGUCUGUUAGACAAAGGAAUAUGCUGAUGGGAUAAAAGAUGGAUAGUAUGCUGAACACCGAGAGACCAAUCCACAAGCAAAGAGUCAUCAAAGGAGUGAAGUUGAAGAAAAGCAUAAAAGGGGGGAACAAGAAAGUUUGUCAUCAUUGUUGUCAUAAAUCCAGCCUUCUACACCUGUCUGGACCACCCCAGCCCAUGAUGUACCCUUUGCUUCCAGGAACUGAGUGGUUGCCUUUUCUGAAGAGCAAUGUAACAUCUGGGAUUGGACAAAAAGUUCUUCUGACCUGAGUCAGAGAUGAUCUCUCAAAAUGUCUUGCCUGAAGAGAAGGUCUGAUGCAUUUUCCUGUUUCCUCAGUUAGAAGACAUCAUGGUUGGUAUUGCAGUGUUUUUUUUAAAUCAUUCACAGCAAGAUUUCAUUCUAAUCAAUUACCUGACAUCUAUUGGGACAGCUGUCUUUAGCUGGAUUUCCUGGCAUCCAAAGACAGUUCCUAAAAGGUUAAGUUCCUGCAAGCAAAUGCAUGGAGACCUGCUGAAGGCAGGCACUGAAAAGCAACAUAAUCUGUGGAAUUCCUCAUCUCUUCACACCCAAAACCUGGAAUAUUUCCAAAGAGACUAACAGACAUAGCCGCUAUCAGCUGCCUCAGGGUUCCUUCCAGUUCAUGACUGGCCUUGACUUGGUGAUAACCAAGAUCUUUCACUCUAUGUUUCUUGCAUCUGGAAUUCCCUGAUUCACAGUCAUACUGGAGCUUAUGGUUUAGCCCUUCUUGAUUUGCAACGGUUUAUCUACAAUUAAUUUCAGCUAAACCCACUUCAGUAUUACCCUUGAUUCCAGUCCCAAAAAUGGUUGUCAACCAUGGCGUGGCGGAAAGUAAUUCUGAAAUGGUCACAGGCUAAUCUGGAAAGAGGGAAGCUUAUUUGUUACUUACCCAGAGUUCUCUGGUUCUGAAACUAAACUGGACAUUUCAGCUCAGUUCUUUAAUUAGUAUAAAUCAGCAAAGCUCCACAGAAGUUCACAAAGUUAUGUCAAUUUACACUGAAGACACAGCCCUUCUGAAUAUAUGAAUAUAGUUCUGGGAAGGGGCCCCAGGCCAUCAAGUCCAGUCCUUUGUGCUCUAGACAGACAAUUCCCAGGGACUCCCCAAAAUCACUACUUCAAACUUCAUACACAACUAAAAAGUACAAUAGAACUGAAACAUCAAGAGCACCCUAUAACACGCAAUAGGUAAAAGCAGGGGAGAUGAGGGCAGUGUCAAUGCCCUGUCACUGCAAUGACAUUAAUAUAUGAUCGAAAGAUCCUAGAAAUAGGACUAUGCCACAUGCUAUGGAGGAAAACAAAAUUCCCCAUGUUCCAUGCCUGUAAGACUUAAGGAAAACAUUCCUUUCUGAUGCCAAAUCUGAAUGAAAACAAGAUCUUCUAGCCAGGAACCCGUGUAUUUUUAAGUCCCAGAAGGACCAUCAGUGCCCUCCAGUCAAAAAGCCCUGGCCUAGCUGUGGCCAACAUCCCAGUGCUUCAGAGGAACAUAACCUCAUACCUAUUCCCUGCUCCCAAGCUAAUAACAUUAAUGAAAGGAAAAAAAAUCCUUUUUGGCCCCUACUGGUGAUCAACAAAAGCCCUGAAGCAUGGGAUUAUCUACAUAAUCCCUAACAUACUACAAGAAACUUACCUCUGUAUCCCAAUUGAGGAUUACAAAUACAUGAUUCCACCUAUAAUUCUAACUAACUGUUGAGACAGGACUCCUUGUUUUCUCAUACCACUCCUUCCAUAAACUUUUCCAGGUCAGUCUUAGAGUGAUUCAGGUUCUUUGCCUUACAACUUUGCUCAGAAAACCAUUCCAAAACAUUAUUUCUCUGACAGUUAGAAACCUUCUUAUAAUUUCUGACCUACAUGUAUAGCUACCCAUUUAUGUAUACCCAUUUUGUAGCUCUUUUUUCUGUUCCUCCUCUUUCCUUAGUAUUCAUGCCAUGAAUGUACUUGUAAAGGGUGAUCAUAUCCCCUUUCAUCCUCUAUUUUGUUAAACCAGAAAAGAACAGGUUCUCAA